Molecule: ribosomal RNA, 334 nt
Filed under: Hymenotorrendiella clelandii
Lineage: Eukaryota; Fungi; Ascomycota; Leotiomycetes; Helotiales; Helotiaceae
Description: partial large subunit ribosomal RNA
Rfam family: Eukaryotic large subunit ribosomal RNA
Source: RNAcentral
UUCAUCUAAAGCUAAAUAUUGGCCAGAGACCGAUAGCGCACAAGUAGAGUGAUCGAAAGAUGAAAAGCACUUUGGAAAGAGAGUUAAACAGUACGUGAAAUUGUUGAAAGGGAAGCGCUUGCAACCAGACUUGCAUGCCGUCGAUCAUCCUGGGUUCUCCCUGGUGCACUCGGCGGCGUUCAGGCCAGCAUCGGUUUUGGUGGUUGGAUAAAGGCCUUGGGAAUGUAGCUCCUCUCGGGGAGUGUUAUAGCCCUCGGUGCAAUGCAGCCUACCGGGACCGAGGACCGCGCUUCGGCUAGGAUGCUGGCGUAAUGGUUGUAAGCGACCCGUCUUG